GUAGGGCGGGACACGUGGUAUCCUGUCUGAAUAUGGGGGGACCAUCCUCCAAGGCUAAAUACUCCUGACUGACCGAUAGUGAACCAGUACCGUGAGGGAAAGGCGAAAAGAACCCCGGCGAGGGGAGUGAAAAAGAACCUGAAACCGUGUACGUACAAGCAGUGGGAGCCUCUUUUAUGGGGUGACUGCGUACCUUUUGUAUAAUGGGUCAGCGACUUAUAUUCUGUAGCAAGGUUAACCGAAUAGGGGAGCCGAAGGGAAACCGAGUCUUAACUGGGCGUUAAGUUGCAGGGUAUAGACCCGAAACCCGGUGAUCUAGCCAUGGGCAGGUUGAAGGUUGGGUAACACUAACUGGAGGACCGAACCGACUAAUGUUGAAAAAUUAGCGGAUGACUUGUGGCUGGGGGUGAAAGGCCAAUCAAACCGGGAGAUAGCUGGUUCUCCCCGAAAGCUAUUUAGGUAGCGCCUCGUGAAUUCAUCUCCGGGGGUAGAGCACUGUUUCGGCAAGGGGGUCAUCCCGACUUACCAACCCGAUGCAAACUGCGAAUACCGGAGAAUGUUAUCACGGGAGACACACGGCGGGUGCUAACGUCCGUCGUGAAGAGGGAAACAACCCAGACCGCCAGCUAAGGUCCCAAAGUCAUGGUUAAGUGGGAAACGAUGUGGGAAGGCCCAGACAGCCAGGAUGUUGGCUUAGAAGCAGCCAUCAUUUAAAGAAAGCGUAAUAGCUCACUGGUCGAGUCGGCCUGCGCGGAAGAUGUAACGGGGCUAAACCAUGCACCGAAGCUGCGGCAGCGACGCUUAUGCGUUGUUGGGUAGGGGAGCGUUCUGUAAGCCUGUGAAGGUGUGCUGUGAGGCAUGCUGGAGGUAUCAGAAGUGCGAAUGCUGACAUAAGUAACGAUAAAGCGGGUGAAAAGCCCGCUCGCCGGAAGACCAAGGGUUCCUGUCCAACGUUAAUCGGGGCAGGGUGAGUCGACCCCUAAGGCGAGGCCGAAAGGCGUAGUCGAUGGGAAACAGGUUAAUAUUCCUGUACUUGGUGUUACUGCGAAGGGGGGACGGAGAAGGCUAUGUUGGCCGGGCGACGGUUGUCCCGGUUUAAGCGUGUAGGCUGGUUUUCCAGGCAAAUCCGGAAAAUCAAGGCUGAGGCGUGAUGACGAGGCACUACGGUGCUGAAGCAACAAAUGCCCUGCUUCCAGGAAAAGCCUCUAAGCAUCAGGUAACAUCAAAUCGUACCCCAAACCGACACAGGUGGUCAGGUAGAGAAUACCAAGGCGCUUGAGAGAACUCGGGUGAAGGAACUAGGCAAAAUGGUGCCGUAACUUCGGGAGAAGGCACGCUGAUAUGUAGGUGAAGCGACUUGCUCGUGGAGCUGAAAUCAGUCGAAGAUACCAGCUGGCUGCAACUGUUUAUUAAAAACACAGCACUGUGCAAACACGAAAGUGGACGUAUACGGUGUGACGCCUGCCCGGUGCCGGAAGGUUAAUUGAUGGGGUCAGCGCAAGCGAAGCUCUUGAUCGAAGCCCCGGUAAACGGCGGCCGUAACUAUAACGGUCCUAAGGUAGCGAAAUUCCUUGUCGGGUAAGUUCCGACCUGCACGAAUGGCGUAAUGAUGGCCAGGCUGUCUCCACCCGAGACUCAGUGAAAUUGAACUCGCUGUGAAGAUGCAGUGUACCCGCGGCAAGACGGAAAGACCCCGUGAACCUUUACUAUAGCUUGACACUGAACAUUGAGCCUUGAUGUGUAGGAUAGGUGGGAGGCUUUGAAGUGUGGACGCCAGUCUGCAUGGAGCCGACCUUGAAAUACCACCCUUUAAUGUUUGAUGUUCUAACGUUGACCCGUAAUCCGGGUUGCGGACAGUGUCUGGUGGGUAGUUUGACUGGGGCGGUCUCCUCCUAAAGAGUAACGGAGGAGCACGAAGGUUGGCUAAUCCUGGUCGGACAUCAGGAGGUUAGUGCAAUGGCAUAAGCCAGCUUGACUGCGAGCGUGACGGCGCGAGCAGGUGCGAAAGCAGGUCAUAGUGAUCCGGUGGUUCUGAAUGGAAGGGCCAUCGCUCAACGGAUAAAAGGUACUCCGGGGAUAACAGGCUGAUACCGCCCAAGAGUUCAUAUCGACGGCGGUGUUUGGCACCUCGAUGUCGGCUCAUCACAUCCUGGGGCUGAAGUAGGUCCCAAGGGUAUGGCUGUUCGCCAUUUAAAGUGGUACGCGAGCUGGGUUUAGAACGUCGUGAGACAGUUCGGUCCCUAUCUGCCGUGGGCGCUGGAGAACUGAGGGGGGCUGCUCCUAGUACGAGAGGACCGGAGUGGACGCAUCACUGGUGUUCGGGUUGUCAUGCCAAUGGCACUGCCCGGUAGCUAAAUGCGGAAGAGAUAAGUGCUGAAAG
This 2380-nucleotide ribosomal RNA is filed under the name Escherichia coli. Its description in RNAcentral is "partial 23S ribosomal RNA". It matches the Rfam family "Bacterial large subunit ribosomal RNA", at positions 412 to 2777 of the family's 2925-position model. The record is from RNAcentral. Lineage: Bacteria; Pseudomonadati; Pseudomonadota; Gammaproteobacteria; Enterobacterales; Enterobacteriaceae.